RNAcentral lists this ribosomal RNA (551 nucleotides) under uncultured bacterium. Its description in RNAcentral is "bacterial SSU rRNA". It matches the Rfam family "Bacterial small subunit ribosomal RNA", at positions 355 to 896 of the family's 1533-position model. The record is from RNAcentral.
UAGGGAAUCUUCCACAAUGGGCGCAAGCCUGAUGGAGCAACACCGCGUGAGUGAAGAAGGGUUUCGGCUCGUAAAGCUCUGUUGUUAAAGAAGAACACGUAUGAGAGUAACUGUUCAUACGUUGACGGUAUUUAACCAGAAAGUCACGGCUAACUACGUGCCAGCAGCCGCGGUAAUACGUAGGUGGCAAGCGUUAUCCGGAUUUAUUGGGCGUAAAGAGAGUGCAGGCGGUUUUCUAAGUCUGAUGUGAAAGCCUUCGGCUUAACCGGAGAAGUGCAUCGGAAACUGGAUAACUUGAGUGCAGAAGAGGGUAGUGGAACUCCAUGUGUAGCGGUGGAAUGGGUAGAUAUAUGGAAGAACCACCAGUGGCGAAGGCGGCUACCUGGUCUGCAACUGACGCUGAGACUCGAAAGCAUGGGUAGCGAACAGGAUUAGAUACCCUGGUAGUCCAUGCCGUAAACGAUGAGUGCUAGGUGUUGGAGGGUUUCCGCCCUUCAGUGCCGGAGCUAACGCAUUAAGCACUCCGCCUGGGGAGUACGACCGCAAGGUUG